AGAGUUUGAUCCUGGCUCAGAUUGAACGCUGGCGGCAGGCCUAACACAUGCAAGUCGAGCGGAUGACGGGAGCUUGCUCCCGGAUUCAGCGGCGGACGGGUGAGUAAUGCCUAGGAAUCUGCCUGGUAGUGGGGGACAACGUUUCGAAAGGAACGCUAAUACCGCAUACGUCCUACGGGAGAAAGCAGGGGACCUUCGGGCCUUGCGCUAUCAGAUGAGCCUAGGUCGGAUUAGCUAGUUGGUGAGGUAAUGGCUCACCAAGGCGACGAUCCGUAACUGGUCUGAGAGGAUGAUCAGUCACACUGGAACUGAGACACGGUCCAGACUCCUACGGGAGGCAGCAGUGGGGAAUAUUGGACAAUGGGCGAAAGCCUGAUCCAGCCAUGCCGCGUGUGUGAAGAAGGUCUUCGGAUUGUAAAGCACUUUAAGUUGGGAGGAAGGGUUGUAGAUUAAUACUCUGCAAUUUUGACGUUACCGACAGAAUAAGCACCGGCUAACUCUGUGCCAGCAGCCGCGGUAAUACGAGGGGUGCAAGCGUUAAUCAAAAUUACUGGGCGUAAAGGGUGUGUAGGUUGUUUUUGAAAGUUAAUUGUAAAAGUUAUUAAAGCAAUUUAAUAAAGCAAUUAAUACUAAUAAACUUGAGUAUAAAAGAAGAAAUUAGAAUUUCAGGAGUAGCAGUGAAAUGCUUAGAUAUCUGAAGGAAUACUAGUGGCGAAGGCGUUUUUCUAUUUUAAUACUGACACUGAUACACGAAAGCAUAGGGAGCAAACAGGAUUAGAUACCCUGGUAGUCUAUGCAGUAAACGAUGUCAACUAUUUAUUAAAUAACAUAUUUAUUUUUUUUAGUGAAAUUAAAAACUUGUAUUUUUAGUAAAAAAGCUAACGCGUUAAGUUGACCGCCUGGGGAUUACGACCGCAAGGUUAAAACUCAAAUGAAUUGACGGGGACCCGCACAAGCGGUGGAUGAUGUGGAUUAAUUCGAUGCAACGCGAAAAACCUUACCUACCCUUGACAUGUUAGAAACUAUAAAGAGAUUUAUAGGUGCUUGCAAAAGAAUCUAAACACAGGUGCUGCAUGGCUGUCGUCAGCUCGUGUCGUGAGAUGUUGGGUUAAGUUCCGCAACGAGCGCAACCCUUAUUAUUAGUUGCUACGAAAGAGCACUCUAAUGAAACUGCCGGUGACAAGCCGGAGGAAGGUGGGGAUGACGUCAAGUCCUCAUGGCCUUUAUGGGUAGGGCUUCACACGUCAUACAAUGGUGCAUACAGAGGGUCGCCAAUCUGCAAAGAGGAGCUAAUCCCAAAAAGUGCAUCGUAGUCCGGAUUGGAGUCUGCAACUCGACUCCAUGAAGUCGGAAUCGCUAGUAAUCGCGGAUCAGCAUGUCGCGGUGAAUACGUUCCCGGGUCUUGUACACACCGCCCGUCACACCAUGGAAGCAGGUUUUACCAGAAGUGAGUAGCUUAACCGAAAGGAGGGCGCUUACCACGGUAAGGUUUGUGACUGGGGUGAAGUCGUAACAAGGUAACCGUAA
RNAcentral lists this ribosomal RNA (1527 nucleotides) under uncultured bacterium. RNAcentral describes it as "partial 16S ribosomal RNA". It matches the Rfam family "Bacterial small subunit ribosomal RNA". The record is from RNAcentral.